UUUUAUAUAACAAAAUGCCACGUCAGCACAAAAAGGUGACAAAAAUACGCUAAAAUCGAGUUCAACGAGUAAUAGGACCUCUGUGAAGUUGGAGUGUGUCGUAACAACUUUGAUCAUAGUGAUCGCAGAGCAGCACCACCCACCCUACCCAAUGUUCAAAAUUGCGGCCGCAACGUCGCAUUAUGCGGUGAUGUGAUGCGAUGUGGUCAUCCAGCGAGUUGCAUCUAUGAUGCGGUGCAAUUUGAGAAUUGCGGGCACAUCAAGCCCUGUUGCAUGAUGCGAUGCGAUGCGCUCGCAAUAUGUAUUUUUUUAUUUUUGUUGCAGCUGGUAUUUUGUUUUAGGUUGGAAUUGCAUGUGCUAUUUUUUUGGGGGGUUUCACAGAAGCUGCUUAAAGUAAAAAAAAAAAAGGGGUCAAAAGUUUUAGAAAGGUUAUGAAGACAGUAUAAAGUCAUUAAGCAACUUAGGGUUUUCACAGAAGCUGCUUUCUCUCUUCUCCAACGAUCAAAUAAUUUGGCUACUAAUUAAGGUAAGUCGUUUUCUUCCUCUUCUGAUGAAUGACUGAUGCUCUGUUUUGGGAGAAAAAUAAGUCAGAAGGGCCCGACAAGUUUUCAAUUAAAAAAAGGAGACAAGUGGGUCUCACAAACUUGUCCUUAAAAUAAACUAAGUCCCUUGAACAAUUGUGAUAGGUGUGGGACAACUAUGUUAGUUGUCUGAACAAUUUCGCACAGUUGUCGAACAAC
This 740-nucleotide long non-coding RNA is filed under the name Capsicum annuum. Its description in RNAcentral is "long non-coding RNA (CANN_LNC020163)". The record is from RNAcentral. Lineage: Eukaryota; Viridiplantae; Streptophyta; Magnoliopsida; Solanales; Solanaceae.